GAGAGUUUGAUCAUGGCUCAGAGUGAACGCUGGCGGCAGGCCUAAUACAUGCAAGUCGAACGGCAGCACGGCAGAGCUUGCUCUGUGGGUGGCGAGUGGCGGACGGGUGAGGAAUACAUGGGAAUCUGCCCAGUCGUGGGGGAUAACGUAGGGAAACUUACGCUAAUACCGCAUGCGCCCUUCGGGGGAAAGCCGGGGACCUUCGGGCCUGGCGCGAUUGGAUGAGCCCAUGUCGGAUUAGCUAGUUGGCGGGGUAAUGGCCCACCAAGGCGACGAUCCGUAGCUGGUCUGAGAGGAUGAUCAGCCACACUGGAACUGAGACACGGUCCAGACUCCUACGGGAGGCAGCAGUAGGGAAUAUUGGACAAUGGGCGCAAGCCUGAUCCAGCCAUGCCGCGUGAGUGAAGAAGGCCCUCGGGUUGUAAAGCUCUUUUGUCCGGAAAGAAAAGCGCCGGGUUAAUACCCUGGUGUCCUGACGGUACCGGAAGAAUAAGCACCGGCUAACUUCGUG
Molecule: ribosomal RNA, 511 nt
Filed under: uncultured bacterium
Lineage: Bacteria
Description: bacterial SSU rRNA
Rfam family: Bacterial small subunit ribosomal RNA
Source: RNAcentral